UCGCCUGUUUUUCAAAAACAUCUUUUCUCGUUAGUUUUUGAAGUAUGGCCUGCCCGCUGACUUUAGUGUUGAAGGGCCGCGGUAUUUUGACCGUGCAAAGGUAGCAUAGUCAUUAGUUCUUUAAUUGUGAUCUGGUAUGAAUGGCUUGACGAGGCAUGGGCUGUCUUAAUUUUUAAUUGUUUAUUGAAUUUGGUCUUUGAGUUAAAAUUCUUAGAUGUUUUUAUGGGACGAGAAGACCCUAUAGAGUUUAACAUUUGUUAUGGUCCCCUUUCUGUUUGUGAGGGUUCAUUGGGCCGUUUAAUAUGUUUUGUUGGGGUGAUGGGAGGGAUUAAUUUAACCCCUCCUUUUUAUUAUUAUAUUUAUUUAUAUUUACUGAUCC
This 379-nucleotide ribosomal RNA is filed under the name Reticulitermes perilucifugus. RNAcentral's name for it is "partial 16S ribosomal RNA". The record is from RNAcentral. Lineage: Eukaryota; Metazoa; Arthropoda; Insecta; Blattodea; Rhinotermitidae.